GCCCUAGUAGCUUAGUCUUAAAGCACCGGUCUUGUAAACCGGAGAUCGGAUGUUAAACCCCUCCCUAGCGCC
RNAcentral lists this transfer RNA (72 nucleotides) under Opsarius bernatziki. Its description in RNAcentral is "tRNA-Thr". It matches the Rfam family "tRNA". Rfam says of the family: Transfer RNA (tRNA) molecules are approximately 80 nucleotides in length. Lineage: Eukaryota; Metazoa; Chordata; Actinopteri; Cypriniformes; Danionidae. The record is from RNAcentral.